GUUUGACUUGAGCGCCAGCGAGAGAGCGUUGCCGCAGGCAACGACCCGAAGGGCGAAGCGUGCAGCGCUGAGUAAUCCUUCCCCCACCACCA
Molecule: small RNA, 92 nt
Filed under: Escherichia coli
Lineage: Bacteria; Pseudomonadati; Pseudomonadota; Gammaproteobacteria; Enterobacterales; Enterobacteriaceae
Description: partial RtT sRNA
Rfam family: RtT RNA
About the family: This family represents a bacterial cis-regulatory element known as RtT RNA. The exact function of RtT is unknown although it is thought that it may be involved in changing the cellular response in relation to amino acid starvation.
Source: RNAcentral